GGGGGCGGCGCGGCGGCUUAAUGCAGUAUGGCGGCGACGGCUGGAGCUUGCAGGGGAAGGAUCCGUGCGCGGCAGGUGCUAGGGAGGCGAAUCCGGAGGAAGGCGGCGAGGCGGGGGUCGCCGGUGACGACGAAGAAGACAGUAGCGCGGCUUCCCGGGGCGGGUCAAUGGAAUCCGCGGCUCCAGGCAGAAAGGAGAUAUGGAGGUGAGGGAGAGAAGAUGGGGGAAAGGAGGGGUGGUGCGGCGACCUAGGAAGGAGCUCGCCGGAGCUCGACGACGGCGGACGGGCGCGGGAGACAGAGGGAUUCGGUGCCGCUGCUACUCUCCUGGUCGCUGCCUCGCCUCCCUGGUAUUCCUCCUCUCACCUCUCCUACCUUGACGACAUCUGCUGCGUCGCCCACGGCCCAGGCCUCGGCCCCACAUCACCAACAUCUCCGCCUCAAGCACACCUGCCACUGCACCCAGCGGCUCGUCGCCAUGACCGUAUCCAGCAAG
This 495-nucleotide ribosomal RNA is filed under the name Triticum aestivum (bread wheat). RNAcentral's name for it is "partial small subunit ribosomal RNA". The record is from RNAcentral. Lineage: Eukaryota; Viridiplantae; Streptophyta; Magnoliopsida; Poales; Poaceae.